AGGACACUCUAUACGGAGUUACAAAGGACGACAUUAGACGAAUCAUCUGGAAAGAUGAAUCAAAGAAGGUAAUAAUCCUGUAGUCGAAAAUGUUGUCUCUCUUGAGUGGAUCCUGAGUACGACGGAGCACGUGAAAUUCCGUCGGAAUCUGGGAGGACCAUCUCCUAAGGCUAAAUACUCUCUAGUGACCGAUAGUGAACCAGUACCGUGAGGGAAAGGUGAAAAGCACCCCGGAAGGGGAGUGAAAUAGAACCUGAAACCGUGUGCUUACAAGUAGUCAGAGCCCGUUAAUGGGUGAUGGCGUGCCUUUUGUAGAAUGAACCGGCGAGUUACGAUUUGAUGCAAGGUUAAGCAGUAAAUGUGGAGCCGUAGCGAAAGCGAGUCUGAAUAGGGCGUUUAGUAUUUGGUCGUAGACCCGAAACCAGGUGAUCUACCCUUGGUCAGGUUGAAGUUCAGGUAACACUGAAUGGAGGACCGAACCGACUUACGUUGAAAAGUGAGCGGAUGAACUGAGGGUAGCGGAGAAAUUCCAAUCGAACCUGGAGAUAGCUGGUUCUCUCCGAAAUAGCUUUAGGGCUAGCCUCAAGUGAUGAUUAUUGGAGGUAGAGCACUGUUUGGACGAGGGGCCCCUCUCGGGUUACCGAAUUCAGACAAACUCCGAAUGCCAAUUAAUUUAACUUGGGAGUCAGAACAUGGGUGAUAAGGUCCGUGUUCGAAAGGGAAACAGCCCAGACCACCAGCUAAGGUCCCAAAAUAUAUGUUAAGUGGAAAAGGAUGUGGCGUUGCCCAGACAACUAGGAUGUUGGCUUAGAAGCAGCCAUCAUUUAAAGAGUGCGUAAUAGCUCACUAGUCGAGUGACACUGCGCCGAAAAUGUACCGGGGCUAAACAUAUUACCGAAGCUGUGGAUUGUCCUUUGGACAAUGGUAGGAGAGCGUUCUAAGGGCGUUGAAGCAUGAUCGUAAGGACAUGUGGAGCGCUUAGAAGUGAGAAUGCCGGUGUGAGUAGCGAAAGACGGGUGAGAAUCCCGUCCACCGAUUGACUAAGGUUUCCAGAGGAAGGCUCGUCCGCUCUGGGUUAGUCGGGUCCUAAGCUGAGGCCGACAGGCGUAGGCGAUGGAUAACAGGUUGAUAUUCCUGUACCACCUAUAAUCGUUUUAAUCGAUGGGGGGACGCAGUAGGAUAGGCGAAGCGUGCGAUUGGAUUGCACGUCUAAGCAGUAAGGCUGAGUAUUAGGCAAAUCCGGUACUCGUUAAGGCUGAGCUGUGAUGGGGAGAAGACAUUGAGUCUUCGAGUCGUUGAUUUCACACUGCCGAGAAAAGCCUCUAGAUAGAAAAUAGGUGCCCGUACCGCAAACCGACACAGGUAGUCAAGAUGAGAAUUCUAAGGUGAGCGAGCGAACUCUCGUUAAGGAACUCGGCAAAAUGACCCCGUAACUUCGGGAGAAGGGGUGCUCUUUAGGGUUAACGCCCAGAAGAGCCGCAGUGAAUAGGCCCAAGCGACUGUUUAUCAAAAACACAGGUCUCUGCUAAACCGUAAGGUGAUGUAUAGGGGCUGACGCCUGCCCGGUGCUGGAAGGUUAAGAGGAGUGGUUAGCUUCUGCGAAGCUACGAAUCGAAGCCCCAGUAAACGGCGGCCGUAACUAUAACGGUCCUAAGGUAGCGAAAUUCCUUGUCGGGUAAGUUCCGACCCGCACGAAAGGCGUAACGAUUUGGGCACUGUCUCAACGAGAGACUCGGUGAAAUCAUAGUACCUGUGAAGAUGCAGGUUACCCGCGACAGGACGGAAAGACCCCGUGGAGCUUUACUGUAGCCUGAUAUUGAAAUUCGGCACAGCUUGUACAGGAUAGGUAGGAGCCUUUGAAACGUGAGCGCUAGCUUACGUGGAGGCGCUGGUGGGAUACUACCCUAGCUGUGUUGGCUUUCUAACCCGCACCACUUAUCGUGGUGGGAGACAGUGUCAAGCGGGCAGUUUGACUGGGGCGGUCGCCUCCUAAAAGGUAACGGAGGCGCUCAAAGGUUCCCUCAGAAUGGUUGGAAAUCAUUCAUAGAGUGUAAAGGCAUAAGGGAGCUUGACUGCGAGACCUACAAGUCGAGCAGGGUCGAAAGACGGACUUAGUGAUCCGGUGGUUCCGCAUGGAAGGGCCAUCGCUCAACGGAUAAAAGCUACCCCGGGGAUAACAGGCUUAUCUCCCCCAAGAGUUCACAUCGACGGGGAGGUUUGGCACCUCGAUGUCGGCUCAUCGCAUCCUGGGGCUGUAGUCGGUCCCAAGGGUUGGGCUGUUCGCCCAUUAAAGCGGUACGCGAGCUGGGUUCAGAACGUCGUGAGACAGUUCGGUCCCUAUCCGUCGUGGGCGUAGGAAAUUUGAGAGGAGCUGUCCUUAGUACGAGAGGACCGGGAUGGACAUACCUCUGGUGUACCAGUUGUCGUGCCAACGGCAUAGCUGGGUAGCUAUGUGUGGACGGGAUAAGUGCUGAAAGCAUCUAAGCAUGAAGCCCCCCUCAAGAUGAGAUUUCCCAACUUCGGUUAUAAGAUCCCUCAAAGAUGAUGAGGUUAAUAGGUUCGAGGUGGAAGCAUGGUGACAUGUGGAGCUGACGAAUACUAAUCGAUCGAAGACUUAAUCAA
Molecule: ribosomal RNA, 2622 nt
Filed under: Staphylococcus aureus DAR3198
Lineage: Bacteria; Bacillati; Bacillota; Bacilli; Caryophanales; Staphylococcaceae
Description: bacterial LSU rRNA
Rfam family: Bacterial large subunit ribosomal RNA
Source: RNAcentral